GACGAACGCUGGCGGCGUGCUUUAUACAUGCAAGUCGAACGAUGAAGUUCCUUCGGGAAUGGAUUAGUGGCGAACGGGUGAGGAACACGUGAGAAACCUGCCUUUCAUUCUGGGAUAACACCGGGAAACCGGUGCUAAUACCGGAUACUCCAUCUUGCGGCAUCGCCGAGCUGGGAAAAAAUUUUGAUGAAAGAUGGUCUCGCGGCCUAUCAGCUAGUUGGUGAGGUAAAGGCUCACCAAGGCGACGACGGGUAGCCGGCCUGAGAGGGCGACCGGCCACACUGGGACUGAGACACGGCCCAGACUCCUACGGGAGGCAGCAGUAGGGAAUAUUGGGCAAUGGGCGAAAGCCUGACCCAGCGACGCCGCGUGAGGGAUGAAGGUCUUCGGAUUGUCAAACCUCUUNCAGUCAGGGAAVAAGCGAAAGUGACGGUACCUAAAG
RNAcentral lists this ribosomal RNA (442 nucleotides) under uncultured bacterium. RNAcentral describes it as "bacterial SSU rRNA". It matches the Rfam family "Bacterial small subunit ribosomal RNA", at positions 28 to 484 of the family's 1533-position model. The record is from RNAcentral.